This is a long non-coding RNA of Papaver somniferum (opium poppy), 1331 nucleotides long. RefSeq lists it as uncharacterized. The transcript is spliced from 5 exons. The record is from RefSeq and is a predicted model, not a curated record. NCBI's taxonomy places the organism in Eukaryota, Viridiplantae, Streptophyta, Magnoliopsida, Ranunculales, Papaveraceae.
CCAUUUUUUUUUCUCUCCGCCUCUUUCACUUUUUUUUUUCUCUCACAACGAUUCAAACCCACUUCUUCCUCUGCAGAUCUACACAUGGUAAAUCGAUUUUCCACUUUGAUUUGUUAAUAGGGUUUUUCUCUUAUUUUCUUUCCCUCGUCUGUUUUCUCUUCUUCCGUCGCCUCUGUAGAACUUAAGCAAAUCUAGGGUUUUAGUUGUGAAGAAGAACAAGAAUAUGAGUUACGCUAAUAUCUGGAAUUCUCAUCCUACGAAUUCUGAACCUGAAUAUCGUAGUUGUUAGAAUCGUAGUUCUUUUGUCUCAAGUCUUAUAGAACUCGUUGUUAACACCUUCCUUUCAGUGUUAGAGAUUUCCCAUGGUAAGGAAGUCUUACUAAGAGCAGUGUCAUGAGAAUUGUGAUUGUUAAGAGUUAAGGAUUGCUUGAAAUUGUUGCCUUGUUGGGUUUGCAUCUGGAAUCGAAUUGGCAAGAGAACAAGUUCUGAGGGGAGCUCAAUACCAAAAAGAGAAACACACCUUUAAACACCACGGAAACUGCACAUCAUGUGUGAUGAAAAGCCUGAAAGAAGAUGACUCUUAUUCCUCUUUGAUACUAGCAACUUGGGAGUCCAACAAUUAUAGCUUUUAAUGGUGGAAGAAUGAAACCUCAAACUUGCAAGGAAAUACCAAUAUUGGUACAUUUACCGUCAUGUGCUUCAUAGAGAGUUUUUUUUAUGUACUGCUUAUAUUCUGCGAUGUCAUCUCGCCAAGCUGCAUACAGAUUUUUAGUGCCUAAAUUGUGUAAGCACACUUAGAGGUCAAUCUCUUUCCUAAUUAGAAAAUGAUAGUAGGAGAAGACACUUGGACGUUGUACAGCGCCAAGUGACAACAGUCUACAGAAAUGAAGAAAUCUCUGUGACAAACAUUUGGUACCUUCAUGGAUGCCGGCACUCUGUUCCCGAUGGUCUCUCUGUUCCCGAUGGUCUCAUGAGGCUAACUGAUGUCAUGGUUGAUGGUAAGAUUGUUGUUCCUGCUGGAUGUAGAAAUGGUUGAAAGGGUUGUGCGUCUGCAGUUCUGCUCUCACGCAAGCUAGUGCCAAGAUCCUAAUGACUGAAAUUGUUGUUGAAAUUCUCAGGAAUGGAAUCACUUAAGAAACCUUAAUAAUUAGAAGUUUUUUUUUAAUGAUUUUGGACUAAAUUUAUGAGUACAGUUCAAUGUAAUCGAGAUGUCAUUUGGUAUUAUACGAAUCAGGUUCUAUAUGGAAUUUGAAUUUGAGAAUUUGAAUUUUACUUGAAUUUGAGAACUUGAAUAAUUUCAUUUGAAUUUGAAUUGUCAUUUAAAUUUCAGU